This 624-nucleotide ribosomal RNA is filed under the name uncultured bacterium. RNAcentral describes it as "bacterial SSU rRNA". The stretch from base 1 to 542 matches the Rfam family "Bacterial small subunit ribosomal RNA", at positions 338 to 873 of the family's 1533-position model. The record is from RNAcentral.
CCUACGGGAGGCAGCAGUGGGGAAUUUUGGACAAUGGGCGCAAGCCUGAUCCAGCAAUGCCGCGUGAGUGAAGAAGGCCUUCGGGUUGUAAAGCUCUUUUGUCAGGGAAGAAACGGUCUACUCUAAUACAGUGGGCUAAUGACGGUACCUGAAGAAUAAGCACCGGCUAACUACGUGCCAGCAGCCGCGGUAAUACGUAGGGUGCAAGCGUUAAUCGGAAUUACUGGGCGUAAAGCGUGCGCAGGCGGUUAUAUAAGUCAGAUGUGAAAUCCCCGGGCUCAACCUGGGAACUGCAUUUGAGACUGUAUGGCUAGAGUGUGUCAGAGGGGGGUAGAAUUCCACGUGUAGCAGUGAAAUGCGUAGAUAUGUGGAGGAAUACCGAUGGCGAAGGCAGCCCCCUGGGAUAACACUGACGCUCAUGCACGAAAGCGUGGGGAGCAAACAGGAUUAGAUACCCUGGUAGUCCACGCCCUAAACGAUGCCUACUAGUUGUCGGGACUUAAUUGUCUUGGUAACGCAGCUAACGCGUGAAGUAGACCGCCUGGGGGNGGUACGGUCGCGAGAGUAAACGUACGAAGUAGAGUAGAGCGUGAGACGAGCGACGGACGACGACGAGGGAGGAGG